Molecule: ribosomal RNA, 460 nt
Filed under: uncultured bacterium
Lineage: Bacteria
Description: partial 16S ribosomal RNA
Rfam family: Bacterial small subunit ribosomal RNA
Source: RNAcentral
CCUACGGGUGGCUGCAGUGAGGAAUAUUGGUCAAUGGACGAGAGUCUGAACCAGCCAAGUAGCGUGAAGGAUGACUGCCCUAUGUGUUGUAACCUUCUUUUAUAUGGGAAUAAAACGUUCCACGUGUGGGAUUUUGUAUGUACCAUUUGAAUACGGAUCGGCUAACUCCGUGCCAGCAGCCGCGGUAAUACGGGGGACCCGAGCGUUAUCCGGAUUUAUUGGGUUUAACGGGAGCGUAGAUGGAUUGUUAAGUCAGUUGUGAAAGUUUGCGGCUCAACCGUAAAAUUGCAGUUGAAAAUGGCAGUCUUGAGUACAGUAGAGGUGGGCGGAAUUCGUGGUGUAGCGGUGAAAUGCUUAGAUAUCACGAAGAACUCCGAUUGCGAAGGCAGUUCACUGGACUGCAACUGACACUGAGGCUCGAAAGUGUGGGUAUCAAACAGGAUUAGAUACCCUUGUAGGC